Molecule: ribosomal RNA, 748 nt
Filed under: Helvella rugosa
Lineage: Eukaryota; Fungi; Ascomycota; Pezizomycetes; Pezizales; Helvellaceae
Description: eukaryotic LSU rRNA
Rfam family: 5.8S ribosomal RNA (bases 250-403)
Source: RNAcentral
GACUCGGAGACAUUAAGAAGGCCCCACCCAUGCCCGGGUGGGGGGCGCAGCGCCCAGGGCGGCGCCUUAAACCCACUCUCUGCGUACACAUCCACGUUGCUUCCCCGGGAUUGGACCACACGUCCCGGGGGAGGACCUGCCCAGAGCACACGAUGCUGGCCAACAUACAUGUCCACCCCUCCCCCCUGUCUGAAGGCCGGCGUGGCCAUGGAGGAGAAGGAGCGAGCGAGCGACGAGACUAAUGCAAAAAACUUUCAACAACGGAUCUCUUGGUUCCCGCAUCGAUGAAGAACGCAGCGAAAUGCGAUAAGUAAUGUGAAUUGCAGAAUUCAGUGAAUCAUCGAAUCUUUGAACGCACAUUGCGCCCCCUGGCAUUCCGGGGGGCAUGCCUGUUCGAGCGUCUCCGAGAAGAAGACUCACGCUUGGUAAUGCGUGGUGGUGGCGGCGGUGGCGGCCCCGACAGGGAGGCCACCCCGGCGGAAUACAUGGGCGGACGACCGCCGCGUCGCAGAGCGUGAUAUUUCGCUAUCGCCUCGAGCGCGGAGAGGCUGCCAGCCCUGGCCAGAUGCCAGCAGCGUGGCGCGGCGCGACACUGUGCUGUCGCCUCGAGCGCGGCUAGGCGACCAAUCCCUCGCCCACGGGCAGGGCUUGGGAGACUGGGAGAACAUGACACCGGAACUCCUCGAAUCAGGUAGGGAUACCCGCUGAACUUAAGCAUAUCAAAAAGCCGGAGGAAAAGGGAAGGCCC